AUACGUAGGGGGCGAGCGUUGUCCGGAAUGAUUGGGCGUAAAGGGCGCGUAGGCGGCCCGGUAAGUCUGGAGUGAAUGUCCUGUUUUUAAGAUGGGAAUUGCUUUGGAUACUGUCGGGCUUGAGUGCAGGAGAGGUAAGUGGAAUUCCCAGUGUAGCGGUGAAAUGCGUAGAGAUUGGGAGGAACACCAGUGGCGAAGGCGACUUACUGGACUGUAACUGACGCUGAGGCGCGAAAGUGUGGGGAGCAAACAGGAUUAGAUACCCUGGUAGUCCACACUGUAAACGAUGAAUGCUAGGUGUAAGAGGUAUCGACCCCUUUUGUGCCGGAGUCAACACAAUAAGCAUUCCGCCUGGGGAGUACGGCCGCAAGGUUGAAACUCAAAUGAAUUGACGGGG
RNAcentral lists this ribosomal RNA (397 nucleotides) under uncultured bacterium. RNAcentral describes it as "partial 16S ribosomal RNA". It matches the Rfam family "Bacterial small subunit ribosomal RNA", at positions 523 to 918 of the family's 1533-position model. The record is from RNAcentral.